Molecule: ribosomal RNA, 292 nt
Filed under: uncultured Alphaproteobacteria bacterium
Lineage: Bacteria; Pseudomonadati; Pseudomonadota; Alphaproteobacteria
Description: partial 16S ribosomal RNA
Source: RNAcentral
GGACUACAGGGGUAUCUAAUCCUGUUUGCUCCCCACGCUUUCGCGCCUCAGCGUCAGUAACGGGCCAGUGAGUCGCCUUCGCCACUGGUGUUCUUCCGAAUAUCUACGAAUUUCACCUCUACACUCGGAGUUCCACUCACCUCUCCCGUACUCUAGACGUCCAGUAUCAAAGGCAAUUCCAAGGUUGAGCCCUGGGCUUUCACCUCUGACUUAAUCGUCCGCCUACGCGCCCUUUACGCCCAGUAAAUCCGAGCAACGCUAGCCCCCUUCGUAUUACCGCGGCUGCUGGCAC